UGACUGAGCGGCGGACGGGUGAGUAACGCGUGGGUAACCUGCCUCAUACAGGGGGAUAACAGUUAGAAAUGACUGCUAAUACCGCAUAAGACCACAGCACCGCAUGGUGCAGAGGUAAAAACUCCGGUGGUAUGAGAUGGACCCGCGUCUGAUUAGCUGGUUGGUGGGGUAACGGCCUACCAAGGCGACGAUCAGUAGCCGGCCUGAGAGGGCGACCGGCCACAUUGGGACUGAGACACGGCCCAAACUCCUACGGGAGGCAGCAGUGGGGAAUAUUGCACAAUGGGGGAAACCCUGAUGCAGCGACGCCGCGUGAAGGAAGAAGUAUUUCGGUAUGUAAACUUCUAUCAGCAGGGAAGAAAAUGACGGUACCUGACUAAGAAGCCCCGGCUAACUACGUGCCAGCAGCCGCGGUAAUACGUAGGGGGCAAGCGUUAUCCGGAUUUACUGGGUGUAAAGGGAGCGUAGACGGAGAGGCAAGUCUGAUGUGAAAACCCGGGGCUCAACCCCGGGACUGCAUUGGAAACUGUUUUUCUAGAGUGUCGGAGAGGUAAGCGGAAUUCCUAGUGUAGCGGUGAAAUGCGUAGAUAUUAGGAGGAACACCAGUGGCGAAGGCGGCUUACUGGACGAUGACUGACGUUGAGGCUCGAAAGCGUGGGGAGCAAACAGG
This 670-nucleotide ribosomal RNA is filed under the name uncultured Lachnospiraceae bacterium. RNAcentral's name for it is "bacterial SSU rRNA". It matches the Rfam family "Bacterial small subunit ribosomal RNA", at positions 88 to 776 of the family's 1533-position model. The record is from RNAcentral. Lineage: Bacteria; Bacillati; Bacillota; Clostridia; Lachnospirales; Lachnospiraceae.